This 205-nucleotide long non-coding RNA is filed under the name Bemisia tabaci. RNAcentral describes it as "lncRNA ENSSSA1UGG001813". Lineage: Eukaryota; Metazoa; Arthropoda; Insecta; Hemiptera; Aleyrodidae. The record is from RNAcentral.
UUUGGAAAUAACUGCUGAGCUGAGAAAGAGCGCUUUAGGAACAUACGAAUGUUGUCAACUUUACACGGAAGGAGGAGAAUGAACGGAAAAGAAAACAUUUUUCCGAUUAUGAACGACGGAGAUCAACUUUAGUGCAACUUAUUCAGCUAAUACAUACAGUAUAACUCAAUGAUUAUGACGCUACGUUGAGGACGGCGCGUAGAUA